GCCUGGCUAGCUCAAUCGGUAGAGCGUGAGACUCUUACGCUUACGUAAUCGUGAUCUCAAGGUUGCGGGUUCGACCCCCGCGUUAGGCU
Molecule: non-coding RNA, 89 nt
Organism: Tulasnella sp. 427
Lineage: Eukaryota; Fungi; Basidiomycota; Agaricomycetes; Cantharellales; Tulasnellaceae
Source: the annotation of a GenBank genome assembly